RNAcentral lists this ribosomal RNA (372 nucleotides) under uncultured organism. RNAcentral describes it as "bacterial SSU rRNA". It matches the Rfam family "Bacterial small subunit ribosomal RNA", at positions 526 to 896 of the family's 1533-position model. The record is from RNAcentral.
CAGAGGGUGCAAGCGUUGUUCGGAAUUAUUGGGCGUAAAGCGCGUGUAGGCGGCUUUGCAAGUCGGGUGUGAAAGCCCUCAGCUCAACUGAGGAAGUGCGCCCGAAACUGCAGAGCUUGAGUACCGGAGAGGAUGGCGGAAUUCCCCAAGUAGAGGUGAAAUUCGUAGAUAUGGGGAGGAACACCGGUGGCGAAGGCGGCCAUCUGGACGGAUACUGACGCUGAGACGCGAAAGCGUGGGGAGCAAACAGGAUUAGAUACCCUGGUAGUCCACGCCGUAAACGAUGAGAACUAGGUGUCGUGGGUGUUGACCCCCGCGGUGCCGUAGCCAACGCAUUAAGUUCUCCGCCUGGGAAGUACGGCCGCAAGGCUA